CAAAAUUCCACACUCAGGAGAAACAAUGCCAGAGUAUUCUGAGAGUGAAGCCAGAAGGGUCAGCUCUCCAGGCCAGCCACUCCUGAGUCUCAGCCAGCCCCAUGCCCAGAGGCUCCACCUGCACAGCCUCCUCCCCCAGCUUUCUGGUUUCCAGCAGGCAGAUCCACAGCAGAGCACUGGCUUUGUCCUGCUCUCCCCCCAGCAAUCCCGGAA
This 213-nucleotide long non-coding RNA is filed under the name Fukomys damarensis (Damara mole-rat). RNAcentral describes it as "lncRNA (ENSFDAG00000030285.1)". The record is from RNAcentral. Lineage: Eukaryota; Metazoa; Chordata; Mammalia; Rodentia; Bathyergidae.